UACGUAGGCAGCAAGCGUUGUUCGGAGUUACUGGGCGUAAAGAGUGCGUAGGUGGUGCCCUAAGUCUGUUGUGAAAUCUCCCGGCUUAACUGGGAGGGUGCGGUGGAAACUGGGGUGCUUGAGUGUGGGAGAGGUAAGCGGAAUUCCUGGUGUAGCGGUGAAAUGCGUAGAUAUCAGGAGGAACACCGGUGGUGUAGACGGGUUACUGGACCACGACUGACACUGAGGCACGAAAGCGUGGGUAGCAAACAGG
This 253-nucleotide ribosomal RNA is filed under the name uncultured bacterium. RNAcentral's name for it is "partial 16S ribosomal RNA". It matches the Rfam family "Bacterial small subunit ribosomal RNA", at positions 524 to 776 of the family's 1533-position model. The record is from RNAcentral.